GACGAACGCUGGCGGCGUGCUUAACACAUGCAAGUCGAACGGAAAGGCCCUGCUUUUGUGGGGUGCUCGAGUGGCGAACGGGUGAGUAACACGUGAGUAACCUGCCCUUGACUUUGGGAUAACUUCAGGAAACUGGGGCUAAUACCGGAUAGGAGCUCCUGCUGCAUGGUGGGGGUUGGAAAGUUUCGGCGGUUGGGGAUGGACUUGCGGCUUAUCAGCUUGUUGGUGGGGUAGUGGCUUACCAAGGCUUUGACGGGUAGCCGGCCUGAGAGGGUGACCGGCCACAUUGGGACUGAGGUACGGCCCAGACUCCUACGGGAGGCAGCAGGUGGGAAUAUUGCACAAUGGGCGGAAGCCUGAUGCAGCAACGCCGCGUGCGGGAUAACGGCCUUCGGGUUGUGAACAGCUUUCGCCUGUGACGAGGCGUGAGUGACGGUAAUGGGUAAAGAAGCACCGGCUAACUACGUG
This 468-nucleotide ribosomal RNA is filed under the name uncultured bacterium. RNAcentral describes it as "partial 16S ribosomal RNA". It matches the Rfam family "Bacterial small subunit ribosomal RNA", at positions 28 to 507 of the family's 1533-position model. The record is from RNAcentral.